Molecule: long non-coding RNA, 7864 nt
Filed under: Glycine max (soybean)
Lineage: Eukaryota; Viridiplantae; Streptophyta; Magnoliopsida; Fabales; Fabaceae
Description: long non-coding RNA (GMAX_LNC001064)
Source: RNAcentral
AAAAAUAUGAAUUUAUCACAACUUUAUUGAACACUAAAGUCCCAGUUACAUUAAAUAACAUGAAAAUAACAUGAUCAGCCCAAAUCAUUAAAAAUGAAAUGAUAUAAAUAAUAAAAAAAAUCCCACCUAAAGUUCAACAUGAGCAUGCUUGUAAAAUUCUCAAGUUAGCUCUUAAUCUCUUAGUAGUUUAAGAUCCCAGGACACUUGAAUCAGUUACAUUAAAUGUGUUACUAUUUACAACAACAAAGCCCUUCCCGCAAAGUGGGACACAAAACGUAUGUCCAUGUCAUGAAGAUCAACAGAAUUUUAUGCUGGUCAUUGACAAAUCACAAAUGUGUUAGUGUUAACAAAUUCUAAAGCUGGUAAAAUUCUAAAGUUCAACAUGAGCAUGCUUGUAAAAUUCUCAAGUUAGCUCUUAAUCUCUUAGUAGUUUAAGAUCCCAGGACACUUGAAUCAGUUACAUUAAAUGUGUUACUAUUUACAACAACAAAGCCCUUCCCGCAAAGUGGGACACAAAACGUAUGUCCAUGUCAUGAAGAUCAACAGAAUUUUAUGCUGGUCAUUGACAAAUCACAAAUGUGUUAGUGUUAACAAAUUCUAAAGCUGGUUUUAACAAAUAGGACGUUCAAUCAGUUGAAUCACUGCCAGCUAAUCAGGCAAUACAUACAAGUGAAAAUUAUAAGAAUCCUUAGUAUUCAAUUUAAACAAUCAUGCAUCCCAAAGUUAUAGUAGAUCCAUAAGGAGAGAUACAAAUCAACAAAAAGUAAAUGCAAAUGAAUCUUUAUACAAUAGCCAUCCCUUCGAUACAAGAAUUAGAAUAAAAGUUUGAUCACAAGUUUAAAAUGCCCAGACAUAGCAUAACUACCCACACAAAACCUUAUCAGCCAAAAUUAAAGUCAAGAGAGAAAAGAAUAUUGUGAUUAAUUUACCCACAUGCUACCCCAUAUUUCAUUAUCCAAACAUGAUACCAGGAAAAGGAAAGUAUAGUAUCAGACUAUCGGUAAUACUAAAAUAGAUUAACUCAUACCCGGCAACUGAGAUCAAAUUUACAGGUUUUUCAUGCCCACAGAGUGUAGCCUUCAAAGCACGAUGUCCUCAUUUGCCACUUGAGCCAAGGGACCAUAGUCAAACGGUACCAUCUUUUCCUCCACUUGCCAAUACAUAAAAGAAAAGAUGAAAACAAAGUCAGCAUAAAAAUAGGAACAAAAUAAAGAACAACUUGCCUUGAUAGCGUCAAGGUUCAUCUUGCUAAAGUGCAUCCAAGCGAAAUUUGUCAAAAGAAAAUACUGUUUCCAAGGAGCAAGCACAAGUGAACAAAUUGAUGUACCUUUUUUUUUUUUGCUAGAAUCCUGAACAUACUAGAAUACAGCACAAGGAAUAGAAAAUUGAAUCGUAGCAUAAAACAACUUCAAGUAUUUGUCUAUUUAUUUUACUUUUGAUCGCAAAAUAAAAGAGGGAUAAACAUACUUCGCACACAUAUCAUUAUCCAACCUCUCUAUCAAGCAUUAAAAUGGGGAAAUUAUAAUAUUUCCAUCACUUUCAGUUUUCACUCUCCUUUCUCCUUUCCACAUUUCCUAAUAAGAACACCUGAUACGAACACAGAAGCUCAAGCACAAGAGGGCAGUAACGACAUAGCAACAGCAAAGAAGGAAUUCGCAGAUGAGGUGGUGCCAAAAGAAGCAAAGCCCAAACAGAGGAUCAAGAAGCCCACUUAUUUGAAUGACUUCGUCUGAGGAUAGCGACAAAGGAAAUGGAAUUGCCAGCUCAUCUUCAAAUCUUCCACAAAUCUUCCUGCUUGAUGCUGCCUACCUGAGGAAGCAGCCAUAACAAAUUGGUUAUUGUAAUAUUCCUAGGAUUAUUCCAUUUCUAGAAGAUUAUUCCAUUCCUAGGAUUUUAUAAAUACCUGUAAAUAACAAAAGCAAAGAUAUGAAAAAGCUGGAAAUUCCUCUGACUCUGUUCUUCUCUAAUUCUCCUUAUUCUCUAGAGGUGCUGGUCCUCCUAAGCCAGUCAUUCCCUAACAUUGGUGCUCUCGUUUCGUGCCUCCAUGUCUGGUCCCUCUCCGCAUGAUACCACCUCGGGUAACCUUGAGGCCAUCCUUACCCGCCUCACUGACACCAUGCAAACCAUGAAUCUGAAACUCGAUGAACUCCUCCACCGUCCUUCCCCAUUUUCUUCCCCUCAACCACAACCCGACCAUUCCCUGUUCCUUCCGUCCCUGCAACACACCACAAAAUGAAGUUAGAAGUUCCGCGUUUUGAUGGCACAGAGCCUCUCGACUGGAUUUUCAAAAUUAAUCAAUAUUUCGAAUACCAUGGCACCCCUGACCGCGACCGCCUCACCAUAGCCUCCUUUUACAUGGAAGGCAGGGUGCUUGCUUGGUUCCAAUGGAUGUCAAGCAAUGCCCAGUUCACUUCAUGGCCAUGGUUUUUACAAGCUUUGCAGACCCGUUUUGCUCCGUCACAAUAAGAAGACCCAACAGGUGCCUUAUUUAAGCUAACGUAGAAAGGAUCAGUGAGUCAAUACCUGUCAGAGUUUGAAGACCUCACGAAUCGAAUUAUCGGGCUGCCAUCUCCUUUCCUCCUAAGUUGCUUCAUCUCCGGCCUUACUUCGGAGAUUCGCAGGGAGGUCCAAGCCAACCAACCUCUCACUUUGGUUCAGGCCGCGGGCCUCGCAAAACUCCAGGAAGAAAAGCUCAUCGAUAGCCGGAACCCUCCGCGAGCUAGAGCGCCACCACUAGCUCCAAAUCUCAUUCGCGCCAACAACCCAAAUGCUGACGUUCACGCCCUUCUUCCGCCGUUACUACCAGCUCCGCCUCGCCCACCACAACCUGUGAUGAAGCGUCUCACCCCGGAGGAGAUAACCUUACGCCAAGAACAUGGGUUAUGCUUCACCUGCGACGAGCGAUAUCAUCAGGGCCAUCACUGCGCCGCUAGGGCUUUCCUCCUUGUGACUGAAGAAGAGGAGCCAACUGACCCUAAAAUAGAUGCAAAUGACCCACCCCCCGACCCACCAGAUGAACCUGACCCAUACCCAGCCCAAAUAAGUCUUAAUUCAUUAUCAGACCACUUGGCACCCGAGGCACUACGCUUAGUGGGAAUCAUGGCCAACCACCGCGUGGUGUUGCUCGUUGACGGUGACAACACCCAUAACUUUAUGCAACCCACCCUCGUGACUCAGCUGGGCCUUCCCUGCCGGAGCACUCGCCGCUACGUGUCAUGGUUGGUAAUGGCCAACAUUUGGACUGCUCUUGUAUCUGUGAAGGGGUAUCUAUUCAAAUUCAAGAUGUCCACUUCACCAUGGACUUGCACGUCUUACCCAUUGUCGGCGCCAACGUCGUCUUGGGCGUCCAAUGGCUUAAGACUUUAGGUCCCAUUCUCACAGAUUAUGGCUCUCUACGCUUGCAAUUCUUCUAUCAGGACCGCUUGAUUGAAUUGAAAGGGGACAGCACAACUGAUUCAGGCCUCAUCACCCACCACCAACUCCGGUGGCUCUAUCGGACACAAACCCAAGCUUCUUAUUUUCAUAUUGCGAUGCUCUCUGAUAAUUGGGAUCCUCCUCCACACCAGGCCCUGCCCCAGACAAUUCAAGCAUUGCUUGAACGUUUUUCCUUCCUGUUUCAGAGUCCACACGGGCUCCCUCCAACCAGAGACAUAGAUCAUCAUAUCCAUCUGCUACCACAAUCCAAUCCUGUCAAUGUGCGCCCCUACCAGUACCCGCACUACCAGAAGCAGGAAAUCGAGCAGCAGGUAGAUGAUAUGCUCCAGAAAGGAUUAAUAUGACCCAGCACGAGUCCUUUUUUGUCGCCGGUCCUCCUUGUGCGCAAACAGGAUGGGACGUGGCGCUUCUGCGUGGACUAUAGGGCCCUGAACAUCGUCACCGUCCGGGAUAGAUUCCCUAUUCCAACAAUUGAUGAGUUAUUGGACGAGUUAGGAGGAGCGCAAUAUUUUUCAAAGCUUGAUUUGUUGCAGGGUUACCACCAGAUCCGCAUGCAUGACUCUGACAUACCCAAGACCGCCUUCAGAACCCACCAUGGACAUUACGAGUUUAAAGUAAUGUCAUUUGGGCUCUGUAAUGCUCCAUCCUCUUUCCAGGCCACCAUGAACAGUAUAUUUCGGCAGCAUCUUCGCCAGUUCAUCAUCAUCUUCUUCGAUGAUAUCUUAGUUUAUAGAACCUCACUUGAAGCUCAUCUCCAGCACCUGGCAACAGCGUUCCAGGUCCUUCUUGACAAUCAUUUUGUUUUAAAAUUCUCUAAAUGUUUUUUCGCGCAGACACAGGUGGAGUAUCUUGGCCACGUGGUAUCGCAGAAGGGUGUGGAACCAGUAGCUUCGAAGGUCAAAGCCAUUCAACAAUGGCUGACACCACGGUCAACGAAGGCUAUAAAAAGCUUCCUGGGACUCGCGGGUUUUUAUCAGAGAUUCAUCUAAAAUUACGCCACGAUUGUUGCCCCUUUGGUCAAACUUACCACCAGGGAUCCUUUUGCUUGGACUCCUCAAGACCAGUUGGCCUUCGAACAACUGAAAACAACUUUCUCCACAGCCCCGGUUCUUGCAUUGCCUGACUUCAAGCUGCCUUUCACUGAAAACAGCAGUCCUCACCCAAAAAGGCCAUCCUGUUGCGUUUUUCAGCAAACCGUUCACGCCUAAGCUCAUUGGUGCCUCGACAUAUGUCCGCGAAUUAUUUGCGAUUACCACGGCGGUCAAAUAGUGGCGUCAAUAUCUCUUGGGUCAGCGCUUCACCAUAAUCACAGAUCAUCGAAGUCUCAAAGAAUUACUGACUCAAGUAAUUCAAACACCUGCACAGCACAAAUACUUGGCUCGCUUGAUGGGGUAUGAUUAUGUCAUCCAAUACCGCUCAGGUCACCACAACCAGGUCGCUGAUGCUCUAUCCCGGCAGCCGAAACAUGAGCCCUCGCAGUGUAUGAUUCUCUCUGUCCCUUCUCUAACCUUCUUGGAAGAACUACGUCAUCAAUUGGAGGAUCACCCAGAAUAUCGCCGCCGCCGGCAAGAGAUUAUGGAAGCUCCAACCAACCACCCUACUUUCUCGGUGUCGAUGGAUUUGGUGUUGACCGAGGGGCAUAUUUGGUUACCUCGAGGAAUCCCAAUUGCGUCAACACUGCUUAAGGAGUAUCACACCACCCCAGUGGGGGGGGGGCAUGCUGGAGUCGCAAAAACAAUGGCCAGGAUUUCGGAAAACUUCACUUGGUCGGGUCUUCGAGAAGAUGUAAAGCAAUUUGUGGCCAAUUGUAUUGAAUGCCAAGUUACAAAGUAUGAGAUGCAGAAGGUGGCAGGGCUGUUGUGCCCCCUUCCGGUACCACAUCGACCAUGGGAAGAUCUUUCUUUAGAUUUUAUCGUAGGCUUGCCAGCAUACCAUGGCAACACCACAAUCCUCGUGGUGGUGGACCGUUUUUCAAAGGGAAUUCAUUUGGGCAUGUUACCGGCAUCCCACACAGCACACAUGGUGGCAUCGUUAUUCAUCGAUAUGGUGGUCAAGAUACAUGGAGUUCCUCGCAAUUUGGUUUUUGACAGGGACCCCCUUUUCAUUAGCAAAUUCUGGCAAGAGCUUUUCAAGGCCAGUGGAACCCAUUUGCGAAUGAACUCUGCUUACCAUCCUCAAAGUGAUGGUCAAACAGAAGUGUUGAACAGGAUUGUUGAACAGUAUCUAAGGGCCUCGUCCACCGACGACCGAACCAGUGGGGCAAGCUUCUACCUUGGAUCGAAUGGUCACAUAACACCUCUUGGAACGCCGGCACAGGCACAACUCCUUAUGAGGUGACGUUUGGAAGAAAGCCAUUUAACUUUCCAGAGUAUAUCAAAGGAACAUCUAACAUCGAAGCAUUGAAUGCUUAUUGACUGAAAAAGAUGCCACUUUCCAAACGAUUCGCAAAAAGCUUCUUAAAGCACAGGAAGCUAUGAAAAAGUAGGCCGAUAGCAAGAGGCGCAACAGGCAAUACCAGAUAGGUGAUUGGGUCUUGCUCCGGCUUCGUCCUCUCCACCAGACAUCAGCCAAAGGGCCUCAAAUAGCUUCUGGUAAACUCGCAAAACGAUUCUAUGGACCCUUCCAGGUAAUAGAUCGCAUUGGCAUUAUGGCCUACAAACUGAAAUUGCCGGAAACAGCUAAAAUCCACCCUGUGUUCCAUUGCUCUAAACUUAAACCUUUUCGAGGAAUUCCAGAGCAGCAAACAGAACUGAAGUUGCCAUCAACAUUUCUCAACGAUCAACCGCUGGUGUACCCUUUGGCUAUCUUGGAUUUUCGUAAAGCUUCAGAAGAAGGAGCUUGGGAGGUGCUGGUUUAGUGGCAAGGUCUCUCUCCCGAUGAGACCUCUUGGAAAGAUUGGACGCAGUUACAACAAGAUUAUCACCUUGAGGACAAGGUGAUCUUACAAGGGCCGAAGAGUGAUACGAACACAGAAGCUCAAGCACAAGAGGACAGUAACGACAUAGCAACAACAGAGAAGGAAUUCGCAAAUGAGGUGGUGCCAAAAGAAGCAAAGCCCAAACGAAGGAUCAAGAAGCUCACUUACUUGAAUGACUUCGUCUGAGGAUAGCGACAAAGGAAAUGGAAUUGCCAGCUCAUCUUCAAAUCUUCUUGCUUGAUGCUUCCUACCAGAGGAAGCAGCCAUAACAAAUUGGUUAUUGUAAUAUUCCUAGGAUUAUUCCAUUUCUAGAAGAUUAUUCCAUUCCUAGGAUUUUAUAAAUACCUGUAAAUAACAAAAGCAGAGAUAUGAAAAAGCUGGAAAUUCCUCUGACUCUGUUCUUCUCUAAUUCUCCUUAUUCUCUGGAGGUGUUGGUCCUCCUAAGCCAGUCAUUCCCUAACAAGACCCUAAAAUGAGCAAUAACAGGAUUAAGAAUGUGUACAUGGGCAUGGGCGACUGAAACAAUUUUACUUAUCUAAUCAAUACCUUCCACCACAGACAAUGGAGUGAUCGCAGCUGGAGGUAACUAAAACCUUUUGCUCCCCUUGCAUAUCACCUUGAAAUACUGAAGUCAUUUCAUUAAGGGGAAACAACCACCUGCAGUUUGAUUAUUUUAGUUGAGAUUAAGCGAAUUCACCCCGAGUUCCAUGUAGUUUAAGUUUCUAGGUGGAAAAGAUAUUCAACUUGGGAACCCAAAAUAACAGAUUAUAAUUCUAGGAAUGUUGUACUAGCUAGGGAACAAAUACAGCUAAUUCACCACCACCAACAAAGACCUUAUCCGACUAGGUAAGAUCAGUUGCAUGAAGAUCAAAUUCUAAGAGAUACUGGGAGAUUCCCCUUAACAAUUUUGUCCAGUGUCCUUAUUGGUUUUUACAACUACACAAGUCUCCUUCACUCAAAAAUAUUCUAAGGAUACUUUUGGAAGUGAAAAAAAAAGGAAAUAUAAUUUCUUUUCAUUUUAAAUUUGAAAGACUUUUACCAAAAUCAAUUUUUUUAAGAUUGAAGAAUCAAAUUUGCUACAUACUACUAAUCUUUAUAAUUAUAAUAAUAGAAACCUGUGAGUUUCUGGAGAAGCAAGCGUGUGCAUCAAAGUCGAGAAACUUGAACCCUCCCUGUGAAGUUUAAAUUCGAUUCAGUAACAGAGAGAGAAAGAGGGAUGUUGAUUGGUGACCUUAAGAAGCGUUGCCAAAUGGAAUUGGAAUAGACGAGGCGUUUCAGAACGGAUGAUGUCAUCGCCAAAUUGCAAACGUAGCUGAAGCAGUUGGCUAUGGAGUCUUCGUUUGUUACAAUUUUUUUGACAGAUUUAUUUUUACUUUCCUUUAUGUUUCUUUCAGCUUUUUAAAAUAAUUAGAAGCUAAAAAUAAUCUUAAAUUGUUUUUUUAUCUGUAACAAUAGAUAAUAACUUCCUCGUUCUCCUCACCCAUUAGUCUGACAAGAAUUUUUCAACUCCAC